GUUUCAAACUCCACCGUCAUCCAUCUACCGUACCGUACGACGUACUGCAAAUCGAUAUCUUUGCUUCGAACCAUUUCCCCAAGAUCCCUCUAAAAUGCGCAUACUAAACAAGAAAGUUCCAGUACAGUUAGUUACUGCAAACGUUCAGCUUUCCGAGACCCAACCAUGGUUCCCAGAAAACGUAGCACAACAAUAACUUGUCAUACUGGAGGAGCGAAGAGUAAUCACAAUAGCUGGAAGUGCGCUCUUCGUGCAUUCAGGUGAUGUGGGCGUUUGUGAAUUCUAAAGUGUGAUCUCACAGGAUGUCUAGAAAAUGAUGGAUCAUUUAGCCAUCAUUUAACCGUGCAAACAGAUGAAUUAAAAUGGACUUGAUCGUUAGUUUGGACUGUCCCCUACAGGAUCUGCUGAAGGUCAGUGCUUGCUGCUUCUUCUGGGCAAAAUGGACUGGUAAGAGGCGGAGAAGAUGCAGGAAAAAAGAUAUAACGGAAUUUGAAAGUCGGCGCUGGAGGAAUGAUCCCGUUAUUGUCUCGUAGUUACAGCGAAUCGCAGCCGGCUAAUCAAUCGCCAAUUCAGAAGAUAUUCAUGAUAAAUUUAAAAUAAGUUUAAGAAAAUAGACUAAAAACAGUAUUUUGAAAUAAAGAGCUGCUUUUUCUGCAAACAAAUAAAACAUAUUUCGUAAAACCAUAUUUCAUAG
This is a long non-coding RNA of Uranotaenia lowii, 694 nucleotides long. RefSeq lists it as uncharacterized. The transcript is spliced from 3 exons. Lineage: Eukaryota; Metazoa; Arthropoda; Insecta; Diptera; Culicidae. The record is from RefSeq and is a predicted model, not a curated record.